RNAcentral lists this ribosomal RNA (839 nucleotides) under uncultured Bacteroidota bacterium. RNAcentral's name for it is "bacterial SSU rRNA". It matches the Rfam family "Bacterial small subunit ribosomal RNA", at positions 53 to 882 of the family's 1533-position model. Lineage: Bacteria; Pseudomonadati; Bacteroidota. The record is from RNAcentral.
UCAUGCAAGUCGAGGGGAAACGACAUCUAAUGCUUGCUUUUGAUGGGCGUCGACCGGCGCACGGGUGAGUAACGCGUAUCCAACCUGCCCACCACUUGGGGAUAACCUUGCGAAAGUAAGACUAAUACCCAAUGACAUCCCACGAAGGCAUCCGAAUGGGAUUAAAGAUUUAUCGGUGAUGGAUGGGGAUGCGUCUGAUUAGCUUGUUGGCGGGGUAACAGCCCACCAAGGCAACGAUCAGUAGGGGUUCUGAGAGGAAGGUCCCCCACAUUGGAACUGAGACACGGUUCAAACUCCUACGGGAGGCAGCAGUGAGGAAUAUUGGUCAAUGGGCGAGAGCCUGAACCAGCCAAGUAGCGUGCAGGAUGACGGCCCUAUGGGUUGCAAACUGCUUUUAUAAGGGAAUAAAGUGAGUCUCGUGAGACUUUUUGCAUGUACCUUAUGAAUAAGGACCGGCUAAUUCCGUGCCAGCAGCCGCGGUAAUACGGAAGGUCCGGGCGUUAUCCGGAUUUAUUGGGUUUAAAGGGAGCGUAGGCCGGAGAUUAAGCGUGUUGUGAAAUGUAGAGGCUCAACCUCUGCACUGCAGCGCGAACUGGUCUUCUUGAGUACGCACAACGUGGGCGGAAUUCGUGGUGUAGCGGUGAAAUGCUUAGAUAUCACGAAGAACUCCGAUUGCGAAGGCAGCUCACGGGAGCGCAACUGACGCUGAAGCUCGAAAGUGCGGGUAUCGAACAGGAUUAGAUACCCUGGUAGUCCGCACGGUAAACGAUGGAUGCCCGCUGUUGGCCUGAAUAGGUCAGCGGCCAAGCGAAAGCAUUAAGCAUCCCACUUGGGGAGUA